AUACGGAGGGGGCGAGCGUUAUUCGGAAUCAUUGGGCGUAAAGGGCGCGUAGGCGGCCUGACAAGCCAGGGGUGAAAUCCCUCGGCUCAACCGAGGAACUGCCUCUGAAACUGUCAGGCUUGAGGCCGGGAGAGGGUAGUGGAAUUCCCAGUGUAGCGGUGAAAUGCGUAGAUAUUGGGAGGAACACCAGUGGCGAAGGCGGCUACCUGGACCGGUUCUGACGCUGAGGCGCGAAAGUGUGGGGAGCAAACAGGAUUAGAAACCCUUGUAGUCC
This 274-nucleotide ribosomal RNA is filed under the name uncultured bacterium. RNAcentral describes it as "partial 16S ribosomal RNA". It matches the Rfam family "Bacterial small subunit ribosomal RNA", at positions 523 to 796 of the family's 1533-position model. The record is from RNAcentral.